Molecule: ribosomal RNA, 472 nt
Filed under: uncultured organism
Description: partial 16S ribosomal RNA
Rfam family: Bacterial small subunit ribosomal RNA
Source: RNAcentral
ACACUCCUACGGGAGGCAGCAGUGGGGAAUUUUGGACAAUGGGCGAAAGCCUGAUCCAGCAAUGCCGCGUGAGUGAAGAAGGCCUUCGGGUUGUAAAGCUCUUUUGUCAGGGAAGAAACGGUGAAAGCUAAUAUCUUUUGCUAAUGACGGUACCUGAAGAAUAAGCACCGGCUAACUACGUGCCAGCAGCCGCGGUAAUACGUAGGGUGCAAGCGUUAAUCGGAAUUACUGGGCGUAAAGCGUGCGCAGGCGGUUUUGUAAGUCUGAUGUGAAAUCCCCGGGGUCAACCUGGGGAUUGCAUUGGAGACUGCAAGGCUAGGAUCUGGCAGAGGGGGGUAGAAUUCCACGUGUAGCAGUGAAAUGCGGAGAUAUGUGGAGGAACACCGAUGGCGAAGGCAGCCCCCUGGGUCAAGAUUGACGCUCAUGCACGAAAGCGUGGGGAGCAAACAGGAUUAGAUACCCGGGUAGUCCC